Molecule: ribosomal RNA, 327 nt
Filed under: Triticum aestivum (bread wheat)
Lineage: Eukaryota; Viridiplantae; Streptophyta; Magnoliopsida; Poales; Poaceae
Description: partial small subunit ribosomal RNA
Source: RNAcentral
GAAACUGUGGAGCACCUUUUCUUCACGUGCCCCUUUAGUCAGCGGUGCUGGCGUAAGGUUGGGAUGUCAUGGCCGGGGGGCACCAACAGAUUAGCCCUUUUGCAUGGGGGUAAAGAUAGCUGGCAUCGGCCCCUAUUCAUGGAUGUUUUUUUGCUUGCUGCUUGGAGCCUAUGGAUGGAGAGAAACAACCAACAUUUCAGGGGGAUUCCACACUCCUUCGUGGCAUGGCUAGCUAGAUUCAAAAAUCUCUUGGAGCUGGUGGCCCACAACUGUCCAGAGAAAUCCAUUCCUUUUCUCUCUGAUUACAUUGUAAAUUUGGGGCUCUAG